This 2242-nucleotide long non-coding RNA is filed under the name Homo sapiens (human). RNAcentral describes it as "HSALNT0319945". The record is from RNAcentral. Lineage: Eukaryota; Metazoa; Chordata; Mammalia; Primates; Hominidae.
GAAGAGAGCUGAGGAUAAAGCCAGGGAAACCAUUGAUGGUCUGUUUCAGUAAUCCAGGAGUUAGAGAUUCAAAACUUGAAAGGACUGGAAUUGGUGAGAAAUGGUUGGAUUCAGGAUAUAAUUCAGCAAUGGAACUUGGACGACUUACGAAUAGAUUGGUUAUAGGUUGUGAAGAGGAAAGAUGACACUAUGAUGACUACUAAGUGAUACCGAGACAUGUUUACGAACUGUGAUUGGUAGAAAAGAAUAAAUUAACCAUGUAGAAGAGAAUGGGAUAAUUGAAGAAGUGAAGUCCUUUAGGGUACAACAGCAUAUGGGAACCAGGCCUCAUAUAGAAACAGGAGCACUUCAUGAUCACAAGAGGGAUGACAGAGUACAAGCAGGUCUGCUGCACGAGAGUCAGAACAUCACUACAAAAUGAAAAACCUGCACCAGGAGAGAAGCGAGAAGGCACUGCUAAGGGACACUCGAUUUACUCAAGAUGGAAUAAGUACAAAGUUACGUAGUCAGGAGAACUAGUACGAAAAAGGAAUCAGUGACAACGGCCUCCUUGAGCUUCCUACAUGGGAUGCCUGCUGCAGAACUGUCCCUUAGUGAGCCGUGGUGAAGAGGAUCUGCAAAACGGGAUAAUCUUUCUUGAGCAGGGAGGUGAAAGAACCCAGCAAUGGCAUGGAUGGAUGUCCUUGGAAGAAUGGAAGGCCCCAGUGUGGUGGGGUGAGGCUUACAUAAAAGCACCCCCAAAUGCCAUUCACUUUCUUCUUCCUUCCUAAAAUAAUUGAAACUGUGGCUAUUGGUAAGCACCUGGUCUUUGCCCAGCAUUGUAGCAGAGGCUAUAGCAGGAGGCCAGACGUCCAGCUCCCCAGGGAGUAAGGGGUCCCAUGGACACAGCCUGAUGGGACCAGCCAUGAUGGCGGGCAGAGCUGUGUCUGGAAAGGAGUCCAAACACCAAAUUCUAGUAUUGGGAUCUUCAUGGUGAUCAUUUGCAAGGCCUCAAUUCUGCCACAGGCUGUUCUACUAUUCCUUGUUCUACUGUUCCUAGCUUUUUCUUAACACUAUUUGCUAAAUGCUCUUCUUUUGGCCAUAUAAAACUGUUAUUCCUCAGACUACAUACUUAUAAUUUGUGUGUUAUUUUUCAUUCUGCCCUAAAGUUCUAAAGUCCAGAAAUGCCUUUUCAUAUCUUCGCUAUAUACACACACAUAUAUGGAAUAGCAAACUGUGAUUCUCUCCUUGAACCACCCAGGAAUAAUAAAUAUGUGGACUUUUUGAAGGUAGAGACUGUGGCUUGUCAACGACUGUAGAGUUAAAAAACAUGAGUUAUUUCUUUUGAAUAAGUAGGACAAAUAUCACCAGUAUAUUGUAGGUACAAUCAGCUAAACUCUUUUUCCCACAAACGCUGGAUAAAUUUUGUGAUCACAAUUACUGACAUAAUAAUAGUUUUCCUUUCACUGGGAAAAGUCUUCUGUAAUUUUGUGUUCAUUUUGCCUUUUUGCCUGUUUACUGCUAAAAAGCGUGAUAGUCAAAUUGUCUUCUCAUUCAAAUUCUUAACGUUAUGUUGUGAUUUAAAAUCAGAGCCAAAAACACAGAGCUGCUUAUUCACAUUUCUCUAAUUUUUUUACCUAACAAAAAAGAAUAAAUCAUUCACAGACAUCUGAAGAAAAGUUACAUAAUUUUAAAAAAUUAUUACAUGGAGAGUUACUAAGGGUAUUGAGUGAGUUAAAUAUCCAGGAAUUGAUGGCUCUGGUCAGUCUCAUUUUACAGAAUCACUGGGGAGUGAUUUGCAUGUUUUGAAUUUUUAGAAUUUACUUGAUAAAAUAACAUGCAAAUGGGGAGAAUAAAGACAUGAACAAAUUUUAAGUGGCUACCUAGAGAGCCAAGUCUUAAAUUCUCCAACCACUCAUUAUUCCUGAGCUUGAGAAUAAAUCAAUGAAUCAAGAUAAAGCAUGAGUGAAAAGGAAUAAUACUGGGAUAGCCACCAAAGUUUCUUUUAGAAUAAAGAAAAAAAAAAACAGAACGAACAGUUGUGUAUAGUAGCACUGAGAACAUUAGAAUUUCCUUCUUUUGACCCUUCUAGAUAUACUUAUUGUAAUUGUGUUUGGCUCCAGCACUCCUCCUCUUGUUUUUAUUUUGAAUUAGGUCCAGACUUUUUAGCUCCAGGGAAGCUAGGAGUAGUACUAAAAUUGCUCUUUCACUUAAACAGAGCUAAUUGCAGCUACGAUGUCGUUCAUAGACUGGAAAUUAAUGA